Molecule: ribosomal RNA, 133 nt
Filed under: uncultured bacterium
Lineage: Bacteria
Description: partial 16S ribosomal RNA
Source: RNAcentral
GGAGGUACCGUCAUCGGCACGGGUAUUAUCCGUACCUUAUUCUUCCCUCCCCACAGAGCUUUACAACCCGAGGGCCUUCAUCACUCACGCGGCGUCGCUGCGUCAGGCUUUCGCCCAUUGCGCAAAAUUCCCC